UUAGUUCAGAAUCUCAUUCGAU
RNAcentral lists this non-coding RNA (22 nucleotides) under Arabidopsis thaliana (thale cress). Lineage: Eukaryota; Viridiplantae; Streptophyta; Magnoliopsida; Brassicales; Brassicaceae. The record is from RNAcentral.